Molecule: ribosomal RNA, 2064 nt
Filed under: Plasmodium vivax North Korean
Lineage: Eukaryota; Apicomplexa; Aconoidasida; Haemosporida; Plasmodiidae
Description: 18S ribosomal RNA
Rfam family: Eukaryotic small subunit ribosomal RNA
Source: RNAcentral
ACCUGGUUGAUCUUGCCAGUAGUCAUAUGCUUGUCUCAAAGAUUAAGCCAUGCAAGUGAAAGUAUAUGCAUAUUUUAUAUGUAGAAACUGCGAACGGCUCAUUAAAACAGUUAUAAUCUACUUGACAUUUUUUCUAUAAGGAUAACUACGGAAAAGCUGUAGCUAAUACUUGCUUUAGCACUCUUGAUUCAUUUCUUGAGUGUGUACUUGUUAAGCCUUUUAAGAAAAAAGUUAUUAACUUAAGGAAUUAUAACAAAGAAGCGACACGUAAUGGAUCCGUCCAUUUUUAGUGUGUAUCAAUCGAGUUUCUGACCUAUCAGCUUUUGAUGUUAGGGUAUUGGCCUAACAUUGCUAUGACGGGUAACGGGGAAUUAGAGUUCGAUUCCGGAGAGGGAGCCUGAGAAAUAGCUACCACAUCUAAGGAAGGCAGCAGGCGCGUAAAUUACCCAAUUCUAAAGAAGAGAGGUAGUGACAAGAAAUAACAAUACAAGGCCAAUCUGGCUUUGUAAUUGGAAUGAUGGGAAUUUAAAACCUUCCCAAAACUCAAUUGGAGGGCAAGUCUGGUGCCAGCAGCCGCGGUAAUUCCAGCUCCAAUAGCGUAUAUUAAAAUUGUUGCAGUUAAAACGCUCGUAGUUGAAUUUCAAGGAAUCGAUAUUUUAAGCAACGCUUUUAGCUUAAUCCACAUAACUGAUACUUCGUAUCGACUUUGUGCGCAUUUUGCUAUUAUGUGUUCUUUUAAUUAAAAUGAUUCUUUUUAAGGAUUUUCUUUGCUUCGGCUUGGAAGUCCUUGUUACUUUGAGUAAAUUAGAGUGUUCAAAGCAAACAGAUAUAGCAUUGCGCGUUUGAAUACUACAGCAUGGAAUAACAAAAUUGAACAAGUCAGAAUUUUGUUCUUUUUUCUUAUUUUGGCUUAGUUACGAUUAAUAGGAGUAGCUUGGGGGCAUUUGUAUUCAGAUGUCAGAGGUGAAAUUCUUAGAUUUUCUGGAGACAAACAACUGCGAAAGCAUUUGUCUAAAAUACUUCCAUUAAUCAAGAACGAAAGUUAAGGGAGUGAAGACGAUCAGAUACCGUCGUAAUCUUAACCAUAAACUAUGCCGACUAGGCUUUGGAUGAAAGAUUUUAAAAUAAGAAUUUUCUCUUCGGAGUUUAUUCUUAGAUUGCUUCCUUCAGUGCCUUAUGAGAAAUCAAAGUCUUUUGGGUUCUGGGGCGAGUAUUCGCGCAAGCGAGAAAGUUAAAAGAAUUGACGGAAGGGCACCACCAGGCGUGGAGCUUGCGGCUUAAUUUGACUCAACACGGGAAAACUCACUAGUUUAAGACAAGAGUAGGAUUGACAGAUUAAUAGCUCUUUCUUGAUUUCUUGGAUGGUGAUGCAUGGCCGUUUUUAGUUCGUGAAUAUGAUUUGUCUGGUUAAUUCCGAUAACGAACGAGAUCUUAACCUGCUAAUUAGCGGCAAAUACGAUAUAUUCUUACGUGGGACUGAAUUCGGUUGAUUUGCUUACUUUGAAGAAAAUAUUGGGAUACGUAACAGUUUCCCUUUCCCUUUUCUACUUAGUUCGCUUUUCAUACUGUUUCUUUUUCGCGUAAGAAUGUAUUUGCUUGAUUGUAAAGCUUCUUAGAGGAACGAUGUGUGUCUAACACAAGGAAGUUUAAGGCAACAACAGGUCUGUGAUGUCCUUAGAUGAACUAGGCUGCACGCGUGCUACACUGAUAUGUAUAACGAGUUAUUAAAAUUACGAUUCAGCUUGCUGUUUCGUAUUUUUCCUCCACUGAAAAGUGUAGGUAAUCUUUAUCAGUACAUAUCGUGAUGGGGAUAGAUUAUUGCAAUUAUUAAUCUUGAACGAGGAAUGCCUAGUAAGCAUGAUUCAUUAGAUUGUGCUGACUACGUCCCUGCCCUUUGUACACACCGCCCGUCGCUCCUACCGAUUGAAAGAUAUGAUGAAUUGUUUGGACAAGAAGAAGGGGGAUUAUAUCUCCUUUUUUCUGGAAAAACCGUAAAUCCUAUCUUUUAAAGGAAGGAGAAGUCGUAACAAGGUUUCCGUAGGUGAACCUGCGGAAGGAUCAUUA